CAAAAAGUAGCUUACAACCAUCAAAGCAUCCGCCUUACAAGCGGAAAACGUUAUACUAACCUUUUUGA
This 68-nucleotide transfer RNA is filed under the name Pseudotrapelus sinaitus (Sinai agama). Its description in RNAcentral is "tRNA-Val". It matches the Rfam family "tRNA". Rfam says of the family: Transfer RNA (tRNA) molecules are approximately 80 nucleotides in length. Their secondary structure includes four short double-helical elements and three loops (D, anti-codon, and T loops). Further hydrogen bonds mediate the characteristic L-shaped molecular structure. tRNAs have two regions of fundamental functional importance: the anti-codon, which is responsible for specific mRNA codon recognition, and the 3' end, to which the tRNAs corresponding amino acid is attached (by aminoacyl-tRNA synthetases). tRNAs cope with the degeneracy of the genetic code in two manners: having more than one tRNA (with a specific anti-codon) for a particular amino acid; and 'wobble' base-pairing, i.e. permitting non-standard base-pairing at the 3rd anti-codon position. The record is from RNAcentral. Lineage: Eukaryota; Metazoa; Chordata; Lepidosauria; Squamata; Agamidae.